Molecule: ribosomal RNA, 388 nt
Filed under: uncultured bacterium
Lineage: Bacteria
Description: bacterial SSU rRNA
Rfam family: Bacterial small subunit ribosomal RNA
Source: RNAcentral
AUUGAACGCUGGCGGCAUGCCUUACACAUGCAAGUCGAACGGCAGCGGACCUUCGGGUGCCGGCGAGUGGCGAACGGGUGAGUAAUGCAUCGGAACGUGCCAUUGAGUGGGGGAUAACGUAGCGAAAGUUACGCUAAUACCGCAUAUUCUGUGAGCAGGAAAGCAGGGGACCGCAAGGCCUUGUGCUCUUUGAGCGGCCGAUGUCAGAUUAGCUAGUUGGUGAGGUAAAGGCUUACCAAGGCGACGAUCUGUAGCGGGUCUGAGAGGAUGAUCCGCCACACUGGAACUGAGACACGGUCCAGACUCCUACGGGAGGCAGCAGUGGGGAAUUUUGGACAAUGGGCGCAAGCCUGAUCCAGCCAUGCCGCGUGAGUGAAGAAGGCCUCGG